RNAcentral lists this ribosomal RNA (1231 nucleotides) under Staphylococcus aureus. RNAcentral's name for it is "bacterial LSU rRNA". It matches the Rfam family "Bacterial large subunit ribosomal RNA", at positions 361 to 1594 of the family's 2925-position model. Lineage: Bacteria; Bacillati; Bacillota; Bacilli; Caryophanales; Staphylococcaceae. The record is from RNAcentral.
AAGGUAAUAAUCCUGUAGUCGAAAAUGUUGUCUCUCUUGAGUGGAUCCUGAGUACGACGGAGCACGUGAAAUUCCGUCGGAAUUCGGGAGGACCAUCUCCUAAGGCUAAAUACUCUCUAGUGACCGAUAGUGAACCAGUACCGUGAGGGAAAGGUGAAAAGCACCCCGGAAGGGGAGUGAAAUAGAACCUGAAACCGUGUGCUUACAAGUAGUCAGAGCCCGUUAAUGGGUGAUGGCGUGCCUUUUGUAGAAUGAACCGGCGAGUUACGAUUUGAUGCAAGGUUAAGCAGUAAAUGUGGAGCCGUAGCGAAAGCGAGUCUGAAUAGGGCGUUUAGUAUUUGGUCGUAGACCCGAAACCAGGUGAUCUACCCUUGGUCAGGUUGAAGUUCAGGUAACACUGAAUGGAGGACCGAACCGACUUACGUUGAAAAGUGAGCGGAUGAACUGAGGGUAGCGGAGAAAUUCCAAUCGAACCUGGAGAUAGCUGGUUCUCUCCGAAAUAGCUUUAGGGCUAGCCUCAAGUGAUGAUUAUUGGAGGUAGAGCACUGUUUGGACGAGGGGCCCCUCUCGGGUUACCGAAUUCAGACAAACUCCGAAUGCCAAUUAAUUUAACUUGGGAGUCAGAACAUGGGUGAUAAGGUCCGUGUUCGAAAGGGAAACAGCCCAGACCACCAGCUAAGGUCCCAAAAUAUAUGUUAAGUGGAAAAGGAUGUGGCGUUGCCCAGACAACUAGGAUGUUGGCUUAGAAGCAGCCAUCAUUUAAAGAGUGCGUAAUAGCUCACUAGUCGAGUGACACUGCGCCGAAAAUGUACCGGGGCUAAACAUAUUACCGAAGCUGUGGAUUGUCCUUUGGACAAUGGUAGGAGAGCGUUCUAAGGGCGUUGAAGCAUGAUCGUAAGGACAUGUGGAGCGCUUAGAAGUGAGAAUGCCGGUGUGAGUAGCGAAAGACGGGUGAGAAUCCCGUCCACCGAUUGACUAAGGUUUCCAGAGGAAGGCUCGUCCGCUCUGGGUUAGUCGGGUCCUAAGCUGAGGCCGACAGGCGUAGGCGAUGGAUAACAGGUUGAUAUUCCUGUACCACCUAUAAUCGUUUUAAUCGAUGGGGGGACGCAGUAGGAUAGGCGAAGCGUGCGAUUGGAUUGCACGUCUAAGCAGUAAGGCUGAGUAUUAGGCAAAUCCGGUACUCGUUAAGGCUGAGCUGUGAUGGGGAGAAGACAUUGAGUCUUCGAGUCGU